AUGAUCUUGAUGAUUGCGGAUUCCACCAUUAAAAAGCCAAUGGGAAGGAUCAAUGAUGUUCUCAUUGGUGCAAAUAGAAAUUUGGUGCCCGUAGAUUUUAUCGUUCUUGAUAUAGAUUGCAAUCUUUCUUGCCCUAUUAUUCUUGGUAGACCUUUCCUUAGAACGAUUGGCGCGAUUAUUGAUAUGAAGGAAGGGAAUAUUAGAUUCCAAUUUCCAUUAAAGAAAGGCAUGGAGAACUUUCCAAGAAAGAAAGUCAAAUUACCUUAUGAAUCUAUCAUGCGAGCUACUUAUGAAUAUAGUGCCAAAGAUGGCACUACUUAG
Molecule: ribosomal RNA, 321 nt
Filed under: Triticum aestivum (bread wheat)
Lineage: Eukaryota; Viridiplantae; Streptophyta; Magnoliopsida; Poales; Poaceae
Description: partial small subunit ribosomal RNA
Source: RNAcentral